Molecule: ribosomal RNA, 637 nt
Filed under: Salmonella enterica subsp. enterica serovar Cerro
Lineage: Bacteria; Pseudomonadati; Pseudomonadota; Gammaproteobacteria; Enterobacterales; Enterobacteriaceae
Description: partial 23S ribosomal RNA
Rfam family: Bacterial large subunit ribosomal RNA
Source: RNAcentral
AGACCCGAAACCCGGUGAUCUAGCCAUGGGCAGGUUGAAGGUUGGGUAACACUAACUGGAGGACCGAACCGACUAAUGUUGAAAAAUUAGCGGAUGACCUGUGGCUGGGGGUGAAAGGCCAAUCAAACCGGGAGAUAGCUGGUUCUCCCCGAAAGCUAUUUAGGUAGCGCCUCGUGAAUUCAUCUCCGGGGGUAGAGCACUGUUUCGGCUAGGGGGCCAUCCCGGCUUACCAACCCGAUGCAAACUGCGAAUACCGGAGAAUGUUAUCACGGGAGACACACGGCGGGUGCUAACGUCCGUCGUGAAGAGGGAAACAACCCAGACCGCCAGCUAAGGUCCCAAAGUCAUGGUUAAGUGGGAAACGAUGUGGGAAGGCCCAGACAGCCAGGAUGUUGGCUUAGAAGCAGCCAUCAUUUAAAGAAAGCGUAAUAGCUCACUGGUCGAGUCGGCCUGCGCGGAAGAUGUAACGGGGCUAAACCAUGCACCGAAGCUGCGGCAGCGAACGUAUCACCCAAGACAACUUUACGGAGUUGACGAUUGACGGAGCGAAGCGACGUCAAAGCGUUCAUUAAAGUCGAGUUGGCUUAGGGAUACGUUCGUUGGGUAGGGGAGCGUUCUGUAAGCCUGUGAAGGUGGC